This is a non-coding RNA of Potamilus streckersoni, 73 nucleotides long. The record is from the annotation of a GenBank genome assembly. Lineage: Eukaryota; Metazoa; Mollusca; Bivalvia; Unionida; Unionidae.
GCUCUGGUGGCCUAGUGGGUAGGAUAUCCACCUCAGAUGCAGGAGGUCAUGGGUUCAAACUCCAGCUAAGUCA